This 497-nucleotide ribosomal RNA is filed under the name uncultured bacterium. Its description in RNAcentral is "partial 16S ribosomal RNA". It matches the Rfam family "Bacterial small subunit ribosomal RNA", at positions 28 to 507 of the family's 1533-position model. The record is from RNAcentral.
GAUGAACGCUGGCGGCGUGCCUAAUACAUGCAAGUCGAGCGAAAAGACGAGGAGUUUGCUCCUCUGACGUUAGCGGCGGAGGGGUGAGUAACACGUGGAUAACCUACCUAUAAGACUGGGAUAACUUCGGGAAACCGGAUCUAAUACCGGAUAAUAUAUUGAACCGCAUGGUUCAAUAGUGAAAGACGGUUUUGCUGUCACUUAUAGAGGGAUCCGCGCCGCAUUAGCUAGUUGUUAAGGUAACGGCUUACCAAGGCAACGAUGCGUAGCCGACCUCAGAGGGUGGUCGGCCACCCUGGAACUGAGACACGGUCCCGACUCCUACGGGAGGCCGCAGUCGGGAAUCUUCCGCAAUGGGCGAGAGCUUGACGGAGCAACGCCGCGUGAGUGAUGAAGGUCUUCGGAUCGUAAAGCUCUGUUAUUAGUGAAGAACAAAUGUGUAAGUAACUAUGCACGUCUUGACGGUACCGAAUCAGAAAGCCCCGGCUAACUACGUG